This 273-nucleotide long non-coding RNA is filed under the name Nicotiana benthamiana. RNAcentral's name for it is "long non-coding RNA (NBEN_LNC030575)". The record is from RNAcentral. Lineage: Eukaryota; Viridiplantae; Streptophyta; Magnoliopsida; Solanales; Solanaceae.
CAGUGGAUAUCCCCUUUGUUCUUGUACAAGGGCACCACUGUACUCCACCUCCACUCCUCCGGGAUCCUUUUGGUCCUGAAGAUCGCAUUGAACAACCUGGAGAGCCACUCCACUCCUGACCUACCCAUGCAUUUCCAGAACUCCACCGGUAUCUCGUCAGGCCCGGUCGCUCGACCCCUACUCAUCCUACGCAAAGCCCCCAUGACCUCCUCCACCCCUAGUAUUCGCAUUGAACAACCUGGAGAGCCACUCCACUCCUGACCUACCCAUGCA